GGGCCGGUGGUCUAGUGGCCAUGACGCCGCCCUUACGAGGCGGAGGUCGUGGGUUCGAGUCCCACCCGGCCCACCA
Molecule: transfer RNA, 76 nt
Filed under: Thermoproteota archaeon
Lineage: Archaea; Thermoproteati; Thermoproteota
Also listed under: 1 other name
Description: tRNA-Val
Rfam family: tRNA
About the family: Transfer RNA (tRNA) molecules are approximately 80 nucleotides in length. Their secondary structure includes four short double-helical elements and three loops (D, anti-codon, and T loops).
Source: RNAcentral